This 76-nucleotide transfer RNA is filed under the name Zootermopsis nevadensis. It matches the Rfam family "tRNA". From Rfam's summary of the family: Transfer RNA (tRNA) molecules are approximately 80 nucleotides in length. Lineage: Eukaryota; Metazoa; Arthropoda; Insecta; Blattodea; Termopsidae. The record is from Rfam by way of RNAcentral.
GCCACGGUGGUCUAGCGGUUAGAACGACGCUGGCCUUGUAAUCCUGGGGUCUCGGGUUCGAUUCCCGGCGGUGCCC